RNAcentral lists this ribosomal RNA (205 nucleotides) under Acinetobacter bereziniae. RNAcentral describes it as "partial 16S ribosomal RNA". It matches the Rfam family "Bacterial small subunit ribosomal RNA", at positions 1 to 214 of the family's 1533-position model. The record is from RNAcentral. RNAcentral also lists the same sequence under 1 other name. Lineage: Bacteria; Pseudomonadati; Pseudomonadota; Gammaproteobacteria; Moraxellales; Moraxellaceae.
UAACUGAAGAGUUUGAUCAUGGCUCAGAUUGAACGCUGGCGGCAGGCUUAACACAUGCAAGUCGAGCGGGGGAGAUUGCUUCGGUAAUUGACCUAGCGGCGGACGGGUGAGUAAUACUUAGGAAUCUGCCUAUUAAUGGGGGACAACAUCUCGAAAGGGAUGCUAAUACCGCAUACGCCCUACGGGGGAAAGCAGGGGAUCACUU